This 1180-nucleotide long non-coding RNA is filed under the name Monodelphis domestica (gray short-tailed opossum). RNAcentral's name for it is "lncRNA (ENSMODG00000045640.1)". The record is from RNAcentral. Lineage: Eukaryota; Metazoa; Chordata; Mammalia; Didelphimorphia; Didelphidae.
GUUCAGGCUAGUUUUACUGACCUGUUUUUUCUCCUUCUCUCUUUUUUUGUUCUUCGUUACAAGGGAUGGUUCUCCAGAGAAGGGAGAAAAUUUCUGAAACUAACAAAAAUGGUGCACCAUCUGGUUCAUUCUUUCUGUGGUCAGCUAAAAAUAUGCCCAGAAUUUUUGAAUAUAAAGGCUGUCUAAGAAACAAAACUGUGAUGGAACUUCUUUGGGUGACCCACAAUUAAAAUUCACAGGGUGAUGUCUUGACUUACAUGGGAAUUGGACUUAAGUAAGGCAGACCUGUAUAAAGUUGUCAGCUUCACUCCUUCCGGAGUUACUGAAAUCCAGACGCAAGACAAAAAGUCAAGAUGCCUGGUGAUGACUUGGGAUGCAGUGAAGAUCUUGGCAUCUUUGACAUCUGAUCAAGCUUUAAGUGAUCCAGGGUCUGCUUCAGCUGCCUUCAUGGCGAAUGGAACAAAUUGUUCUUUUCUGCCUAUCCUGUUGAAUGAACUUAUGCAUCCAUAGGGAAGCCAUUUUUUAACUGGGACCCUGUUCUGAAUAUCUGUUUCAGUGACAAACUUCAGAGGGAUUAUUUGGCUCACAGUUAGGAAGGGGUCAAGCUUCUGACUCAAAGUCCAAUCAUCCCGAAUCCCACCCAAAAAACCUGCUAUUAGUGAAAGGCAACACUAUUUUUGUGGCAUCUGGAGCACUUUGACAAUGUGUUUCUUCUCAGAAGAAUCCAUUUGAUCAGUGUCAAUAGGGUGACCCAAGGCAAACUUGGCAAUGUGAAUUACUUCCCUUACCAUAAAAUGGGGCUGGGAUUAUGUGGUGAGGUGUGCCUAAGACAGAAUUAACUCUCUUUGUUGAUUUUAAAUGCUAUCCUCCUUCAAACAUCAUAUAAACUCCUUGUAUCUUACAUGCUACUGGGCACAGUCAUUUAUAUUGGAAGGUGGAGUCAGUCAAUAACAUUAGAAAGAAAGAAGCAUGGGUGCAAUUAAACCUUUCUUUGGUUAAAUCAUAACUUUCCCCCUUUCCCCAAACCUGCUCAUUUAACACUAGAAAGACCCAUUGAUGGAAUCAAAUUUUAAAAGAAAUGAAUAAUUUACAAUAAUUUUUCUUUUUGUGCAAAUGUACUUUAAAUACAGAAAAUUACAAACCGAUAUUAUAAUUCAACUUUGAAAUAAACAUUUUCAUC